CCUACGGGAGGCAGCAGUGGGGAAUUUUGGACAAUGGGGGCAACCCUGAUCCAGCCAUGCCGCGUGAGUGAAGAAGGCCUUCGGGUUGUAAAGCUCUUUCGGCCGGGAAGAAAACGUAUGGGUUAAUACCCUGUGCGGAUGACGGUACCGGCAUAAGAAGCACCGGCUAACUACGUGCCAGCAGCCGCGGUAAUACGUAGGGUGCGAGCGUUAAUCGGAAUUACUGGGCGUAAAGCGUGCGCAGGCGGUUUUUUAAGACAGGCGUGAAAUCCCCGGGCUCAACCUGGGAACUGCGCUUGUGACUGGAAGGCUAGAGUACGGCAGAGGGGGGUGGAAUUCCACGUGUAGCAGUGAAAUGCGUAGAGAUGUGGAGGAACACAAUGGCGAAGGCAGCCCCUGGGUCGAUACUGACGCUCAUGCACGAAAGCGUGGGUAGCAAACAGGAUUAGAUACCUGGUAGUCCACGCCCUAAACGAUGUCGACUAGGUGUUGGAAGGGUAAAACCUUUUAGUACCGGAGCUAACGCGUGAAGUUGACCGCCUGGGGAGUACGGGCCGCAAGGUUAAAACUCAAAGGAAUUGACGGGGACCGCACAAGCGGUGGAUGAUGUGGAUUAAUUCGAUGCAACGCGAAAAACCUUACCUACCCUUGACAUGUCCAGGAGCCCUUAGAGAUUUGGGGUGUGCCCGAAAGGGAACCUGAACACAGGUGCUGCAUGGCUGUCGUCAGCUCGUGUCGUGAGAUGUUGGGUUAAGUCCCGCAACGAGCGCAACCCUUGUCGUUAAUUGCCAUCAUUUAGUUGGGCACUUUAGCGAGACUGCCGGUGACAAACCGGAGGAAGGUGGGGAUGACGUCAAGUCCUCAUGGCCCUAGGGUAGGGCUUCACACGUCAUACAAUGGUCGGUACAAAGGGUCGCCAACCCGCGAGGGGGAGCCAAUCCCAGAAAGCCGAUCGUAGUCCGGAUUGCAGGCUGCAACUCGCCUGCAUGAAGUCGGGAUCGCUAGUAAUCGUGGAUCAGCAUGUCACGGUCAGCUUCCCGGCCUUUACACACCCC
This 1055-nucleotide ribosomal RNA is filed under the name uncultured Dechloromonas sp. Its description in RNAcentral is "bacterial SSU rRNA". It matches the Rfam family "Bacterial small subunit ribosomal RNA", at positions 338 to 1393 of the family's 1533-position model. The record is from RNAcentral. Lineage: Bacteria; Pseudomonadati; Pseudomonadota; Betaproteobacteria; Rhodocyclales; Azonexaceae.